GGAUUGUGGCUCAGUGGUAGAGAGCUCGCCUAGAAUGUGUAGGACCUGGGUUUGAUUCUCAGCAUCA
This 67-nucleotide transfer RNA is filed under the name Marmota monax (woodchuck). RNAcentral describes it as "tRNA.Ser". Lineage: Eukaryota; Metazoa; Chordata; Mammalia; Rodentia; Sciuridae. The record is from RNAcentral.